UCUCCGUAGGUGAACCUGCGGAGGGAUCAUUGAAUCUAGACCCAUGCACAACUCGUGUGACCCUGCUGACCCCCCCGGUCGGGGCCCCGCGAGGGGACCCGGCCGGCGCCUGUUCCUCGGGCCGGCACCCCCUUCCCAGGAAGGACCGGGCCGGCCGUCUGCCAAGGUCUGGCGGGCCGAUGGGGGCGGCGCUCACCGCCCUAUCCCUCGAUAGGGAGGCGACGCUGCCUCCGAUCACGUCGGCCGGACAAAACCCACUCACCCUACCAACCGUCGAGCCUGAAGCCAGUGGCCGGCGAGCUCACCGGCGACACAACCAAUGACAACUCUCAACAACGGAUAUCUUGGCUCCC
RNAcentral lists this unclassified non-coding RNA (353 nucleotides) under plant metagenome. RNAcentral describes it as "partial contains small subunit ribosomal RNA, internal transcribed spacer 1, and 5.8S ribosomal RNA". The record is from RNAcentral.